RNAcentral lists this ribosomal RNA (493 nucleotides) under uncultured cyanobacterium. Its description in RNAcentral is "bacterial SSU rRNA". The stretch from base 1 to 441 matches the Rfam family "Bacterial small subunit ribosomal RNA", at positions 60 to 546 of the family's 1533-position model. Lineage: Bacteria; Bacillati; Cyanobacteriota. The record is from RNAcentral.
AGUCGAACGGUCUUUUCGGAGAUAGUGGCGGACGGGUGAGUAACGCGUAAGAAUCUACCUUCAGGUUGGGGACCACCACUGGAAACGGGGGCUAAUACCCAAUGUGCCGAGAGGUGAAAGGGUUGCUGCCUGAAGAAGAGCUUGCGUCUGAUUAUCUAGUUGGUGGGGUAAGAGCCUACCAAGGCGACGAUCAGUAGCUGGUCUGAGAGGAUGAUCAGCCACACUGGGACUGAUACACGGCCCACACUCCUACGGGAGGCAGCAGUGGGGAAUUUUCCGCAAUGGGCGAAAGCCUGACGGAGCAAUACCGCGUGAGGGAGGAAGGAUCUUGGGUUGUAAACCUCUUUUCUCAGGGAAGAACAAAUUGAUAGUGCCUGCGGAAUAAGCAUCUUUUAUAUCUUUGCCCGAACCCGCGGUGUACAGAGGAUGCUUUCUUUUUCCUCUCUGCGUGCGCCCCAAAGGAAAGCAAGAGCCAUUGCACGUAUACCAUAUC